RNAcentral lists this ribosomal RNA (274 nucleotides) under uncultured bacterium. RNAcentral describes it as "partial 16S ribosomal RNA". It matches the Rfam family "Bacterial small subunit ribosomal RNA", at positions 523 to 796 of the family's 1533-position model. The record is from RNAcentral.
AUACAGAGGGUGCGAGCGUUAAUCGGAAUUACUGGGCGUAAAGCGCGCGUAGGCGGUCUAUUAAGUCAGAUGUGAAAUCCCAGGGCUCAACCUUGGAACCGCAUCUGAUACUGGUAGACUAGAGUUUUGGAGAGGGAAGUAGAAUUUCAGGUGUAGCGGUGAAAUGCAUAGAGAUCUGAAGGAAUACCAGUGGCGAAGGCGACUUCCUGGCCAAAAACUGACGCUGAGGUGCGAAAGCGUGGGUAGCAAACGGGAUUAGAAACCCCAGUAGUCC